RNAcentral lists this transfer RNA (92 nucleotides) under Deltaproteobacteria bacterium. Its description in RNAcentral is "tRNA-Ser". It matches the Rfam family "tRNA". From Rfam's summary of the family: Transfer RNA (tRNA) molecules are approximately 80 nucleotides in length. Their secondary structure includes four short double-helical elements and three loops (D, anti-codon, and T loops). Lineage: Bacteria; Pseudomonadati; Myxococcota; Myxococcia. The record is from RNAcentral. RNAcentral also lists the same sequence under 1 other name.
GGAGAGGUGACCGAGUGGUUGAAGGUGCACGACUGGAACUCGUGUGUAGGGCGUGAGUUCUACCGAGGGUUCGAAUCCCUCCCUCUCCGCCA